RNAcentral lists this long non-coding RNA (4332 nucleotides) under Equus caballus (horse). RNAcentral describes it as "lncRNA (ENSECAG00000049655.1)". The record is from RNAcentral. Lineage: Eukaryota; Metazoa; Chordata; Mammalia; Perissodactyla; Equidae.
GCGAUAUAAGGCGCCGCGCGGGCUCGGGGUCCAGCGCCCGUCCGGUCCCGCCGCCGCGCCUUGUCCUGCCGCUCAGCCCGCCUCGGCGCCCCCUGCGCGCCCCGGCCUGGCAGCGGCUGCAUCAGGGCCGCCCCCUACCGCGGCAUCUCCUGCUACCGCGGCCCCGCUGCGUCUGCGGGGGCUUCCGGGCCGGCUCCUGCGGCCGCAGCUUCGGAUACCGCUCCGGCGAAGUGCGCGCACCCAGCUCUCCCUGCAUCACCACCGUGUCAGUCAACGAGAGCCUCCUGGCGCCCCUCAACCUGGAGAUCGACCCCAACGCGCAGAGCGUGAAGCACGAGGAGAAGGAGUAGGUCAAGUGCCUCAACAACGGGUUCGCUGCCUUCAUCGACAAGCAGGUGCGCUUCCUGGAGCAGCAGAACAAGCUGCUGGAGGCCAAGUGGAGGUUCUACCAGAAGCCGCUGUGGCCGGAUGCCAAGUGCGUGGAGGCCGACAGCGGGAGGCUGACCUUGGAGCUCAACCACGUGCAGGAGGUGCUGGGGAACUACAAGAAGAGGUGAGCACAUCGGGGAGGAGCGUCUGGAGAAAGGAGAUGGGAUUCAGUUAAAGCAGGAGAGCUUUGGAUUAGCCCACAAGAAGAACUUUCCAACAAAAAGCAGACGACAAGAAACCUGUGGGAGAACUUUUCCUUUCUGGGAUGGGAGCUUAAACAUCGGAGAGAGUCUGAGCUGCUCCAGCUCCCUCAUCACCAUGCGUUUAUUUCAUUAAUCCAUCAAACACUUCCUGAACUUCUACUCUAUGUUCCAAGUGCCGUGUUGGGCCCUGAGGUGGGGCAGGGGUGAGAAAGAACGGAGGAGGGGAAAGUGUUCCUGUCCCCAGGGACUUACGAUCCAGAAGCAGAGAGGAGGCCUACAAAAAUAUGCAGGGUACCCACCCAGCCCCCAUCAGGAAUGAGAGUCCCCGAAACAGGCUGAGCAGUGGGUGACGUGGCUGGGUUUGAGCGCCCGGAGGAAAUAGAUGGACAAGGUCCCUCCACGUCUGGAUUCUGUAACCACCUCCAGAACACGCGGUUCCUGGAAUGUGUUUGUCUGGGCUUCAUGGCCAGCCUAUGGAAGUUCUAGCCACCGACCCUUGUGCCCUUUGUCCCCAGGUAUGAAGAGGAGGUGGCACUAAAGGCCACCACUGAGAAUGAAUUUGUGGCUCUGAAGAAGAUAAGUGACCCCAGAAUCCUUGUCCCACACCUCAGAACUGAGGGCAGAAGCAGGAGGGAGCUCUCUGUAAUUCAGAGAGGCUGAGGGACUCCCCCAGAGUCACACAGCACCACCUCUUCCCUAUUCCUUUCCCCAAAUGCCGCAGUGCUCCCUGAGCUGCCCCAGACCUCAGAGUACUCUCCCGCUUCAAGCAGGGCAGUCUUCUCCCCAUCCAGGGUAACUCCCAUCUGGCCAUGGGCCUCCUGCCUCCUGCCCUGUGUGUGGCAGAGAGAAGGCACUCCGUGAAUGCGGGUGGAUGACAGUACGUGACUGCCAGAGGCUGGCUGCAUCCUCGGGCCGGCAACAGGUGGGAAGUGCUGGCGUGAACGAGGCCGUUGUUCCUCACCUCUCGGACUUCCGUCUGCACAGGCGCCAGCAUGGGGACGCUCACCAGGUCCUUCCAGCCACCUCCAUAUGAGGAAGGCAGGGGUUACCAUGGAGAAACUGAGGCACAGAGGUCCAGGGUCUUGCCCUGAAUUGCACUGAGACCUCUUCUGACCACAGAUCUAGAUUUCUUUCCAUGAGAUUCCAGAGCAGAGAGGGUGGGGCAUCACUGGAAUAGACCCAUUUUACAGGAGAUCCUAAGUUUCAGUGAUAGUUCUAGAUGUGGAUUCCAGAGGAGUCAUUCCAGUGGGAAUCAGAGGAAGUGCCUGGAACCCUCAGGAUCCCCCUCUGUUGCCCAAACCUGCUCCUCACGGCAUAAAGGACCUCACCAAUGCCAUGGUACCAGGCACUGGGCUGAGCAGCUAAGAAGGGUGUCUGGGGAGUGUGCCCAGCCCAGUGAGGUGUCCCUCGCUGGUGGGGAGAGCUCUAAGUUGUCACUCCAGUGAGACCCCUGGGCCGCCUUCUCCCCUUUAGGACGUGGACUGCGCCUACCUGCACAAAUCAGACCUGGAGACCAACGCGGAGGCCCCGGUCCAGGAGAUCGACUUCCUGCGGCGACUGUAUGAGGAGGAGCUCCAGAUCCUCCACGCCCACAUCUCAGACACCUCGGGCAUCGUCAAGAUGGACAACAGCCGGGAACUGAACAUGGACAACAUCCUGGCCAAGAUCAAGGCCCAGUACGAUGACAUCGCCAGCGGCAGCCAGGCCGAGGCCGAGUCCUUGUACCGCAGCAAGUGCGAGGAGAUAAAGGCCACGGUGGUCUGGCACGGGGAGACCCUGCGCCGCACCAAGGAGGAGAUCAACGAGCUGAACCGCGUGAUCCAGAGGCUGACCGCCGAGGUCGAGAAUGCCGAGUGCCAGGAACUCGAAGCUGGAGGGGGCCAUAAGCCAGGCUGAGCAGCAGAGCGAGGCGGCCCUCACUGACGCCGGCUGCAGGCUGGCUGGGCUGGAGGAGGCCCUGCAGAAGGCCAAGCAGGACAUGGCCUGCCUGCUCAGGGAGUACCAGGAGGUGAUGAACGCCAAGCUGGGCCUGGACUCGGAGAUCACCACCUACAGGCGCCUGCUGGAGGGUGAGGGGCAGAGGUGAGGCCCUCAGCGGUGGGGAGGAUGUCUCUUCCAUCCCCCCAAACUGUGCUUAGAGCCAGGAGCAUGUUUGCAUAUUAUUUGCAUCUGAUUUGCAUCAAGAUUACUUGGAGGAGGGAAUUUGCAGGUUAACAGUAGAUUUCAUCAGCUUUGCUCCCCCUCAACUAAUUUUUGUCUCUUUGCUCUCCCCACAAGGUUGUGUGAGGGCGUUGGUGCUAUAAAGUGACCAGUGACCCGUACUGUGGGUUCUGAAAUAAGGGCUUGAGAUGGGCAAACUUUUUCUUAAAGGGCAGAUAGCAAAUAUUUUAGGCUUGUGGGCCAUGCAGCCUCUGUCUCAACUCUUCAGCUUGGUCCAUGUGAUGUGAAAGCAGCCACAGCCAUAAGCAAUACUUAACAAAUAGGUAUCACUGGGUUCCAACAAAACUGUAUUUACAAAAACAGGAGGCCGGCGUGUGCGGCCAUAGUUGGAAGACCCUAAAAGGAAGGAGGGGGUGUGGCAGUGAAUGAUUGUAACUUAAAAUUGCUAUUUCUGCCUAUAGGGAGGGUCUGGGCUAAGAGUUUAUCAAAGAUGCUUGAAGUUAAACUGCAGGAAGGAGUGCUCAGGUGUGAGGAUUUUGGGGGAGCUGGGAAAUAGAAAUGGAGGGGUGGAGCUCUGAGCGAGAGAAGAGGGCUCUGGGCCAGCAAGCAGGGGCCGCAUGCCACGACCUCACAUGAGAACUAAGCCCUGUCUUCCACCUGCAGGUGUCAGCAGCUCCCAGGCCGGGGUCGUCUGCGGGGACCUCUGCGUAUCGGGCUCCCGGCCCUGCACCGGGAACGUGGCGGUGAGCGCCGGCCUGUGCGCCCCCUGCGCGCCCGCCCGGUGCGCGCCCCCGGAACACAGCUGCGGCCGCGGCCGCCUGGUGCGGUUUGCGUAGCGCCUCCGGCUUCGUAAAUACCCGGCUCCGCGAGCGAACUGUCCCCGCCUGCGGCGGCGGCCCCGGACCUCCCAGAGGCCCUGACUUGAGGCCGAAGGGCUGCGGGAACCGGCCGGCCCGACCUGACCAAACUGCGGCUUCUCUCCUUGCCUCUCCCCGCUUCGUCUCUUCGUUUCUUCCGGGGAGGCCGGGCUCCUCGGCCGCAUGUCUAGCAGCUCCCCCCACCCCUAAGAGUCUAAACGACUGGUUUCCUCGCAGCCCUGGGCAAAGAUCCAACCUCGGGCUGCCCUGGGGACUCAGACGCGUGUGGCUUCUAAGGGACAGCCUGACCCCAGGGACCCUCGUGGUGGACGCUGCGGCGCGGUGCCUCCUCUGCCUUCUGAACCCUCUGAGGUUGCGUUGCCAAGUACGGACGACCUUCCGCUGCUGCCUCCGCUCCCCUCGUGCUGGGUCUCCACUUUCUAAUAAAGGUCAUGGGUCAUAUAUAAGUCGCUGCCGUCACACGUUUGUGCUUACACAUGUGGCCUUCCGGCCCAGUUUUCACCCCGGUCAGAGGCAACAGAGGAGCUGUUCUCAGCCAAAGAGGGAGAGAGGGCUGUCUGAGGCACCCUACCCCUAGCCCGACGCUAUAUACAUCCUGAAGGAUGGGCGCCAGUCCCAAAAACCCAGACACGGAAGAGUGAGGAGCAGCUAGAAGUGACGAG